Brassica napus (rape) is the source of this 125-nucleotide non-coding RNA. The record is from Rfam. NCBI's taxonomy places the organism in Eukaryota, Viridiplantae, Streptophyta, Magnoliopsida, Brassicales, Brassicaceae.
GUAAUAUAAGAACUCGUUUCUUAACUUUUAAUUGAAAAAGAUAAGAACUAGUUCUUAAAUAAGAGUUUUAAGAGCCGUUUCUUAAUUUUUUUAGUUAAAAGUUAAGAGACGGGUUCUUAUAUUUC